UUUUCGUUAAGAAAUUUCUUAACUCUCUUGCUUUGGAACAAAAGCUGCGCGCGCAGCAUCAUAAAAAAAAAAAACAACAGACAAUGACUUGAUAUUUACGUUCAUGUUGGUGGAAUGGAAGAUGGUCUGUCUGUUGUUGUAGCAGAUCAGCACUGACAGUGAGGUAUUACAGAAUGAAUGACUGUAACAUGUGAUUUCUUGAUUAAUCUGGAAAAGUGCAAGUUCACAUUCUGGUUGGCUGGUCAGUGUAAUCAAAUUCCACCCACAUCAGAGGUGCUCAGGGAGAGGCAGCAAUAUGGAACAUAGUGGACAACAUGCUAGCACACAGACAGAAACAUUUUGGUUGACAGUUGAUUCAAGGUUAUACUGUGGUAUGUUGAGGUGACUUCUGCUCCAAAAUUACCAGUACAAAACACAGGAAGAAAUUAAGCAU
Mercenaria mercenaria is the source of this 433-nucleotide long non-coding RNA. RefSeq lists it as uncharacterized. The transcript has 5 exons. Lineage: Eukaryota; Metazoa; Mollusca; Bivalvia; Venerida; Veneridae. The record is from RefSeq and is a predicted model, not a curated record.